Molecule: long non-coding RNA, 3767 nt
Organism: Homarus americanus (American lobster)
Lineage: Eukaryota; Metazoa; Arthropoda; Malacostraca; Decapoda; Nephropidae
Exons: 3
Source: RefSeq, a predicted model, not a curated record
UUAUUUAAAAACUAAAUUUAAUGUAAAAGGUGUUCCUUUUAUAGAGGGUGAGAGGGAGCCGUGUGUCAUGGCCUCCUCCAUGUAAACAAAGCGGAGAAAAAUAUUGUGAAGAAAAUUGUUAUGACUUCGUGUUGGCGUUGCUGUUUAUCAAAUCGUAAAUUAUCUGCAAGACCCAUUGUCAGAUUUAUAACCGAGUGGGGGUGCCUGUUCAACGACCAAGAGGGCCAAGAUUAUUUAUUAACGACUGCCAUAUAUGACAUUAUUAGUUGUAAUUUCUAUAAUGAAACCAUUUGCAUAUAAAACCAAUUAUACAACAGAACACUAACUUUAUUUAUGACAACUAAUGAGUCAGCUCACAACAUUUUAUGUAUACUGUAUAUAAAUUCAUAAAUUAUUAAACUACACACACAUAUAUGUAAUGAUAGUUUAAGUAUAUAACAUUUACAGGAAAGAAUUAUAUAAACUGAAGUACAGCAAUGAACAACUGAAUGUAAAUUAAUUUUUCUCAAAUAACCAACAAGACAAUAAUGAAAACUGAUGAUGUUUAUGAAAAAAUUGACACCAGAGAAAUAAUGAGAAAAUAUUCCUUCCAUUAAUAACUUCUAUAUACACAGUACUGUACUCAUUAUGUGAUAGUGAUAAUUAACUCAAUACAAUUUAAUUUUCCUGCUCUUUCCUCCAAGUUCAAUUUCUGUGUAAGGUCUGCCCAAAAUACAGUCAAGACCAGCUUACUUUUUCUACGGUGAGUCAUUGAAUGCCUAUAUUGUGUAAGCACGUGACAGUUGAGAAGGAGUGUUCACAUAUUGCAGUGCUUGUACCAAAUAAGAGACGACUCAGUGUCGACACCUAUGAGUUUAGCCAAUGGGACAAGAUUUUCCGGAAGUAAUAAACAAGUCUUGGAUUCUGGCCAACGACUAGAAAUGACUGUAAGUAGUCUAAUAUUAUGCUCACCAAACUCAGCAUUGAGUUCACCAAGGCAGUUAUCUAAAAUAUUGUAGUACAGUUGAUGAUGUAAAUCAGCUUCACUAUCAAAACCAUGAACAUUAGAAUGUCUUACAGUUGUUUUAGUCUGUUAAGUAUUGGGGCAGUUUGUGUUAUGCUUUUGCUUUUCCUGAUGGUAUUCUGUAAGGUCGUGAUGAUCAAGUUUUGAUGAGAUAUUCUCAUUGCCAGUGUUGUUCCAGAUGUCUUUAACACUACUGACAAGAGAUUCAAUAAGGUGAAUUCUUGUCAUGAAGUCAGUCAUGUGAUUGUAAAAGCUGAUCUGCAGGUCCAAGUGUCGGCAGAAAUUCCUUCACACGGUAUGCAGUAAACAUGAAUUUUUCUGCAUUUUAUCUGUUUCAAUAAUCCAGUUGCCACACUGCUGCAUCACACUCAUUUUCCUCACAUGUAUCAAGUACAUCCACCAACUUUUUGUGGUUAGCUAUAAUUGCUGACACAGUGGCUGGGUGACGUGACCACUGCUUGCUUUCCAAUAGUAUGCACUACUGUUAACCAAAUGUAGCGGAUGGUUAAAAUUUAAUUAAUUUUGCCACUUACAGUGACCAGAUUAUUGUGCACCCCAUACUUAUCCUGUGAGCAGUAGCACAAAAGAAUUACAGAGUUGAGGUCACAAGGGGUCUGGAUAACUAACCCCAGUGGUCAGGACAUUAUGACAUUGAAUGUUACAGAGUAUUUCAAAUACUGUACAUUGUUUGUUUUAUUUUUGUACAUCGAGGGUAACUUAUUCACAACUGCCUGAGUACAACAGUGUGAGGCAAUAUGCCUGGCCACACACUUUGUUAUUCGCAUUUGCAUGAGAAGUAUUCAGGCAUAUUGUGUGUUUGGUUCUAUAGAUGGGAAAUGAUAUAGCAACUGAGUUCAAAAAAGUGGAUGCAGUCUUAAUAUAUCGGCUAUCUUGCCAUUUAGAGAUAAAGUGUUGUUCAUUUCACACACAGUGUAUUUGGACCUGUCCGUAAAAGGUUCUGUCUUCACACAGUCAAGGACGUGGUAUUCCAGUUUGUGGUCAUUUGUUUGAUCACACACUUUGCAUUUAGUUUUUUUUCGCAUCUGCUUGAGGGAUAUACUGCCAGAGGUACUUAUAUCCUUAUCUUACUUUAGCAGUUCCAUUAUCUAGUUCCCUGCUCCAUAUACAUGUUUCACUUGAUACUUCUCAUCAUGGUAAACACUGUAUUGACUAAUGACUGUUUGCACUUGUCUGCUUGCAUCAAAUUCAUCAAUCUGUUCUUUCCUAGUUACAGUUUUAAGGGUUCUUUUUGACAGACCCAAAUUGUGUUUAACAGUGUCUUUGUUAGACGUGAGUUUGGCGAGGGCAUCAACUCUGUCAUGUUCUUUGAGGCCUGUGUGAGAAGGGAUCAACAACAGUUUGAUCUUGACACCUCCAUCAACAAGGUCCACAUUUGUGUCUGGCUUCACAGACAAAUGCGUGACAACUUAAGUUAAGAGCAAGCAGGAUAGAGAGUCAGUGAUGACGAGACUGUCGGUGAUGGUGAUUUAAAUAAAUUUAAUGGCUGAAAGUAUGGCAACUAAUUCUGUUUGUUGAAUGGAUGCCCACUUGUUAAUUCUAAUUCCUUUCUCAGUUACAUUUCCAUUAGGUUGAUCAUAACCUAACAUCUUCAUUUGCACCGAAAAGUGAGAUAAGUCUCCUACCAUUGGUGUUAGUGGUGGGGUCUUUUUCUUCAUCAUAUAGAUUACAGCUCCUCCCCGACUUACGACCUCCGACCACCUGGACAUUCGACCGCCUGGUGUCCAGAAGACACACAUCUGUAGCACACAUCUUCUGGGGCCUUGCAUUUUUUGGGUGGGUGACUGUACCGCUGACACUUGAAGCAUCUGGUCUGUCAUGGCACGUAAGAUCUCACUCAGACGAUGUCCCAUCCCAGUGUGACCGUCUCUGGAAGUUUGUGGAAAAAUCCAACUAGAGCCGAGGUGGAUUUUCCGUCGGGUCUCUUAAUUUCUCUCUGCGCGUCUAUUUCUUCUUCUAUGAGUUCUUUAAUAUCAUUCUUGUUCAUAUGUUAUACUUUGGCGUGGGAAAUAGCUUCCCACACCUUCACGGGGCCGUCAUUGAUGACAUUAAACGUUGCUAAGUUGUUUAGCCUGUCUCCAGUCACCGAAGGUGAGGGAGGCUGAGGACUGUGUGGCACUUCUAAGAAGUCAGCAAUGACUGGGAGGCAUAACACCUCUCACAUAACCUCCAGUGUGACCAGCCAGGAACUCCUGGUUAAGUAGCCACUUCCUUUUUUAUCAUGACCCAGUUUGUCUCCAGCAAAGUAAAGGAAUACAGAUGUAAACCUUCCUUUUUUCUCUCUCUGGUGUUAUCUCUAUCAAUACAGUACAGGCACCAUCUACUUGUAGAGGUUUUCUAUAAGUAUAUGCUGUUGUUUCUUCUCUAAAACACUGUCUGCUGUACUCGAGACUCCAGUAUUGGUGGGACUGUGUUGGCUGAUGCAUGGCUGUGUGCUCAUGAUCACAUUUGUAAAUAACUGACGGUCUUAAUUUAUAUGGAAACAAGACUUUUAUCAACAAAGUCAUUUCAUAAGUUUUGAAUAUAUUCUAUCUCAAUAUGCUGUAAAAAAAAUUGGAGAGUGAAAAUGUUUUUAUAUUCCUUGGAACUGCCAUAGAGCGGGUACCCCUACCAAUGAGUUGUUCCAAUGAUCUAGAUUGGAAACUUGAUCCACCAGGACUGCCUUUGGGUCUGUUGGUAUAAACACAAACUGCUCCAAUACUUAACAGUGACUGAAACAACUGUAAGACAUUCUAAUGUUCAUGGU